RNAcentral lists this ribosomal RNA (253 nucleotides) under uncultured bacterium. Its description in RNAcentral is "partial 16S ribosomal RNA". It matches the Rfam family "Bacterial small subunit ribosomal RNA", at positions 524 to 776 of the family's 1533-position model. The record is from RNAcentral.
GACGUAGGGGGCCAGCGUUGUUCGGAAUUACUGGGUGUAAAGGGUCAGUAGGCGGUGUGGCAAGUCGGGAGUGAAAUCUAUGGGCUCAACUCAUAGGCUGCUUCCGAAACUGCCGUGCUUGAGUGUGGGAGAGGCGCGUGGAAUUGCAGGUGUAGCGGUGAAAUGCGUAGAUAUCUGCAGGAACACCCGUGGCGAAAGCGGCGCGCUGGACCACAACUGACGCUGAAUGACGAAAGCUAGGGGAGCAAACAGG